GACGAACGCUGGCGGCGUGCUUAACACAUGCAAGUCGAACGGAAAGGCUCCUUGGGGGGUACUCGAGUGGCGAACGGGUGAGUAACACGUGAGUAACCUGCCCUUGACUUCGGGAUAACUUCAGGAAACUGGGGCCAAUACCGGUUAGGAAUCAUUUCUGCAUGGCGGUGGUUGGAAAGCUUCGGCGGUUUUGGAUGGACUAGCGGCUUAUCAGCUUGUUGGUGGGGUAGUAGCUUACCAAGACAUUGACGGGUAACCGGACUGAGAGGGCGACCCGCCACACUGGCACUGAGAGGCGGCCGAGACUCCUACUGGAGGCUGAAGUGCGGAAUCUUGCACCAUGGGCGGAAGCCUAUUGCAGCAACGCCUCGUGCGGGAUGACUGCCUUCGGAUUGUAAACCGCUUUCAGCAGUGACUAAGCUUGUGGUGACGGUACCUGCAGAAAAAGCACCGGCUAACUACGUG
RNAcentral lists this ribosomal RNA (465 nucleotides) under uncultured bacterium. RNAcentral describes it as "partial 16S ribosomal RNA". It matches the Rfam family "Bacterial small subunit ribosomal RNA", at positions 28 to 507 of the family's 1533-position model. The record is from RNAcentral.